CUCAGCCGACCAGACGGCGGUGGGAGCGAGGAACCCGGUGGGAGUCCGGGGCGGUCGCGCCACUGUGAAAGCCAGACACUCCACCACCGGCCGUGAUGUCUC
RNAcentral lists this non-coding RNA (102 nucleotides) under Kutzneria sp. Lineage: Bacteria; Bacillati; Actinomycetota; Actinomycetes; Pseudonocardiales; Pseudonocardiaceae. The record is from RNAcentral.